AUGGGGUUAGGGUGCUAUUUCGGAUGCAGACAGAAGAAACAGAGAAACAACCCUUUUCAAUCACUAUCCGUUCUUUGUGAAUCACAGUUCACAUAGCAAGGGCUUUUUUUUAUCAGUGCAAGUCAACUACAGGUCUCUGUGUAGAUGUAUGAAUCACUAGUCAACUACAGGUCUCUGUGUAGAUGUAUGGAUCACUAGUCAACUACAGGUCUCUGUGAAGAUGUAUGGAUCACUAGUCAACUACAGGUCUCUGUGAAGAUGUAUGGAUCACUAGUCAACUACAGGUCUCUGUGUAGAUGUAUGGAUCACUAGUCAACUACAGGUCUCUGUGUAGAUGUAUGAAUCACUAGUCAACUACAGGUCUCUGUGUAGAUGUAUGGAUCACUAGUCAACUACAGGUCUCUGUGUAGAUGUAUGGAUCACUAGUCAACUACAGGUCUCUGUGUAGAUGUAUGGAUCACUAGUCAACUACAGGUCUCUGUGAAGAUGUAUGGAUCACUAGUCAACUACAGGUCUCUGUGAAGAUGUAUGGAUCACUAGUCAACUACAGGUCUCUGUGUAGAUGUAUGGAUCACUAGUCAACUACAGGUCUCUGUGAAGAUGUAUGGAUCACUAGUCAACUACAGGUCUCUGUGAAGAUGUAUGGAUCACUAGUCAACUACAGGUCUCUGUGUAGAUGUAUGGAUCACUAGUCAACUACAGGUCUCUGUGAAGAUGUAUGGAUCACUAGUCAACUACAGGUCUCUGUGAAGAUGUAUGGAUCACUAGUCAACUACAGGUCUCUCUCUGUGUAGAUGUAUGGAUCACUAGGCAACUACAGGUCUCUGUGAAGAUGUAUGGAUCACUAGUCAACUACAGGUCUCUCUCUGUGUAGAUGUAUGGAUCACUAGUCAACUACAGGUCUCUGUGUAGAAGUAUGGAUCACUAGUCAACUACAGGUCUCUGUGAAGAUGUAUGGAUCACUAGUCAACUACAGGUCUCUGUGUAGAUGUAUGGAUCACUAGUCAACUACAGGUCUCUCUGUGUAGAUGUAUGGAUCACUAGUCAACUACAGGUCUCUGUGUAGAUGUAUGGAUCACUAGUCAACUACAGGUCUCUGUGUAGAUGUAUGGAUCACUAGUCAACUACAGGUCUCUGUGAAGAUGUAUGGAUCACUAGUCAACUACAGGUCUCUGUGAAGAUGUAUGGAUCACUAGUCAACUACAGGUCUCUGUGUAGAUGUAUGGAUCACUAGUCAACUACAGGUCUCUGUGAAGAUGUAUGGAUCACUAGUCAACUACAGGUCUCUGUGAAGAUGUAUGGAUCACUAGUCAACUACAGGUCUCUGUGAAGAUGUAUGGAUCACUAGUCAACUACAGGUCUCUGUGUAGAUGUAUGGAUCACUAGUCAACUACAGGUCUCUGUGAAGAUGUAUGGAUCACUAGUCAACUACAGGUCUCUGUGAAGAUGUAUGGAUCACUAGUCAACUACAGGUCUCUGUGUAGAUGUAUGGAUCACUAGUCAACUACAGGUCUCUGUGAAGAUGUAUGGAUCACUAGUCAACUACAGGUCUCUGUGAAGAUGUAUGGAUCACUAGUCAACUACAGGUCUCUCUGUGUAGAUGUAUGGAUCACUAGUCAACUACAGGUCUCUGUGUAGAUGUAUGGAUCACUAGUCAACUACAGGUCUCUGUGUAGAUGUAUGGAUCACUAGUCAACUACAGGUCUCUGUGAAGAUGUAUGGAUCACUAGUCAACUACAGGUCUCUGUGUAGAUGUAUGGAUCACUAGUCAACUACAGGUCUCUGUGAAGAUGUAUGGAUCACUAGUCAACUACAGGUCUCUCUGUGUAGAUGUAUGGAUCACUAGUCAACUACAGGUCUCUCUGUGUAGAUGUAUGGAUCACUAGUCAACUACAGGUCUCUCUGUGUAGAUGUAUGGAUCACUAGUCAACUACAGGUCUCUGUGUAGAU
Long non-coding RNA from Oncorhynchus keta (chum salmon), 1950 nucleotides. RefSeq lists it as uncharacterized. The record is from RefSeq and is a predicted model, not a curated record. The transcript is spliced from 12 exons. Lineage: Eukaryota; Metazoa; Chordata; Actinopteri; Salmoniformes; Salmonidae.